ACUUAAAUUGAAGAGUUUGAUCAUGGCUCAGAUUGAACGCUGGCGGCAGGCCUAACACAUGCAAGUCGAGCGGUAGCACAGAGAGCUUGCUCUCGGGUGACGAGCGGCGGACGGGUGAGUAAUGUCUGGGAAACUGCCUGAUGGAGGGGGAUAACUACUGGAAACGGUAGCUAAUACCGCAUAACGUCGCAAGACCAAAGUGGGGGACCUUCGGGCCUCAUGCCAUCAGAUGUGCCCAGAUGGGAUUAGCUAGUAGGUGGGGUAACGGCUCACCUAGGCGACGAUCCCUAGCUGGUCUGAGAGGAUGACCAGCCACACUGGAACUGAGACACGGUCCAGACUCCUACGGGAGGCAGCAGUGGGGAAUAUUGCACAAUGGGCGCAAGCCUGAUGCAGCCAUGCCGCGUGUGUGAAGAAGGCCUUCGGGUUGUAAAGCACUUUCAGCGGGGAGGAAGGCGUAAGGUUAAUAACCUUACGAUUGACGUUACCCGCAGAAGAAGCACCGGCUAACUCCGUGCCAGCAGCCGCGGUAAUACGGAGGGUGCAAGCGUUAAUCGGAAUUACUGGGCGUAAAGCGCACGCAGGCGGUCUGUCAAGUCGGAUGUGAAAUCCCCGGGCUCAACCUGGGAACUGCAUUCGAAACUGGCAGGCUAGAGUCUUGUAGAGGGGGGUAGAAUUCCAGGUGUAGCGGUGAAAUGCGUAGAGAUCUGGAGGAAUACCGGUGGCGAAGGCGGCCCCCUGGACAAAGACUGACGCUCAGGUGCGAAAGCGUGGGGAGCAAACAGGAUUAGAUACCCUGGUAGUCCACGCCGUAAACGAUGUCGAUUUGGAGGUUGUGCCCUUGAGGCGUGGCUUCCGGAGCUAACGCGUUAAAUCGACCGCCUGGGGAGUACGGCCGCAAGGUUAAAACUCAAAUGAAUUGACGGGGGCCCGCACAAGCGGUGGAGCAUGUGGUUUAAUUCGAUGCAACGCGAAGAACCUUACCUGGUCUUGACAUCCACAGAACUUUCCAGAGAUGGAUUGGUGCCUUCGGGAACUGUGAGACAGGUGCUGCAUGGCUGUCGUCAGCUCGUGUUGUGAAAUGUUGGGUUAAGUCCCGCAACGAGCGCAACCCUUAUCCUUUGUUGCCAGCGGUCCGGCCGGGAACUCAAAGGAGACUGCCAGUGAUAAACUGGAGGAAGGUGGGGAUGACGUCAAGUCAUCAUGGCCCUUACGACCAGGGCUACACACGUGCUACAAUGGCAUAUACAAAGAGAAGCGACCUCGCGAGAGCAAGCGGACCUCAUAAAGUAUGUCGUAGUCCGGAUUGGAGUCUGCAACUCGACUCCAUGAAGUCGGAAUCGCUAGUAAUCGUAGAUCAGAAUGCUACGGUGAAUACGUUCCCGGGCCUUGUACACACCGCCCGUCACACCAUGGGAGUGGGUUGCAAAAGAAGUAGGUAGCUUAACCUUCGGGAGGGCGCUUACCACUUUGUGAUUCAUGACUGGGGUGAAGUCGUAACAAGGUAACCGUAGGGGAACCUGCGGUUGGAUCACCUCCUUACCUUAAAGAA
This 1552-nucleotide ribosomal RNA is filed under the name Klebsiella pneumoniae subsp. pneumoniae KPNIH14. Its description in RNAcentral is "bacterial SSU rRNA". It matches the Rfam family "Bacterial small subunit ribosomal RNA". The record is from RNAcentral. Lineage: Bacteria; Pseudomonadati; Pseudomonadota; Gammaproteobacteria; Enterobacterales; Enterobacteriaceae.